CAUGCCUUCAGAAUAACCGAACGACGAACAAAUGUAGUUUGGUUCAGACAGAGGCGCAUAUCAAUUAUAUCAAAUGCUGAAAUCGUUCGAUUUUUCGAAUAGGUUCGACGAUGCGGAACGUGAUCUAGACAUUUUGAUAUUCAUAUUU
Small nucleolar RNA from Vigna unguiculata (cowpea), 148 nucleotides. RefSeq annotates it as small nucleolar RNA snoR138. The record is from RefSeq and is a predicted model, not a curated record. Lineage: Eukaryota; Viridiplantae; Streptophyta; Magnoliopsida; Fabales; Fabaceae.